This 86-nucleotide ribosomal RNA is filed under the name Meriones unguiculatus (Mongolian gerbil). The record is from RNAcentral. Lineage: Eukaryota; Metazoa; Chordata; Mammalia; Rodentia; Muridae.
CCUUACAGCCAUACCACCCCGAACACUCCGGAUCUCAUCUAUCUCAGACGCUAAGCAUGGUCAGGCCUGGUUAGUAAUUGGAUGGG